UAAAGAUUUUAAGGGCGUACGGUGGAUGCCUUGGCGAUAUCAGCCGAAGAAGGACGCGGUAAGCUGCGAUAAGCUACGGAGAGGUGCAAGCAACCUGUGACCCGUAGAUUUCCGAAUGGGGGAACCCGGCAGUGGUUAUGCACUGUCACCCAUAGCUUAGACUAUGAGGAGGGCACCUGGGGAACUGAAACAUCUAAUUACCCAGAGGAACAGUAAUCAAACGAGAUUUUCUUAGUAGCGGCGAGCGAACGGGAAAGAGGCCAAACCGGAGCGGGCAACCGCACCGGGGUUGAGGACAGUCAUCAAGUGUAAAUGAGGUAGAAGAAUCGAGCUGGAAAGCUCAGCCGCAGAAGGUGAAAGCCCUGUAAUCGAAACCUUGCAUACACGGGACUGUAUCCAGAGUACCACGAGACACGUGAAACCUUGUGGGAAGCAGGGGGGACCACCCUCCAAGCCAAAAUACUGAUAUCGACCGAUAGCGCAUAGUACCGUGAGGGAAAGGUGAAAAGAACCCCUGGCGGGGAGUGAAAGAGAACCUGAAACCGUAUGUCUACAAACAGUCGAAGUCUGUAUAUAUAUCAGGACGACGGCGUGCCUAUUGAAGAAUGAACCGACGAGUUACUGUUGCUAGCGAGGUUAAGUGGAAAACAUGGAGCCGCAGCGAAAGCGAGUCUGAACAGGGCGUAUAGUUAGUAAUAGUAGACCCGAAACCGUAGUGAUCUAUCCAUGGCCAGGUUGAAGCACAGGUAAAAUUGUGUGGAGGACCGAACUCGUGAGCGUUGAAAAGCUUUGGGAUGAGUUGUGGAUAGGGGUGAAAUGCCAAUCGAACACGGAGAUAGCUGGUUCUCCCCGAAAUAGCUUUAGGGCUAGCGUCGAGGUAAAGUCGUGUGAAGGUAGAGCACUGAAUAUGUGAUGGCCCCAUCUCGGGGUACUGAACAUAAUCAAACUCCGAAUGUCACAAAGAUAUACUCGGCAGUCAGACAGUGGGUGAUAAGGUCCAUUGUCAAAAGGGAAACAGCCCAGACCAUCAGCUAAGGUCCCAAAAUAUAUACUAAGUGGAAAAGGAUGUGGAGAUGUCCAGACAACUAGGAGGUUGGCUCAGAAGCAGCCAUCCUUUAAAGAGUGCGUAACAGCUCACUAGUCGAAUGACUCUGCGCCGAUAAUUUACCGGGGCUAAGUAUAUUACCGAAGCUAUGGAUUUACGCGUAAGCGUGAGUGGUAGGGGAGCGUUCUAUGUGCGGAGAAGCGGUACCGUAAGGAGCCGUGGAGCGCAUAGAAGAGAGAAUGCCGGUGUGAGUAGCGAAACGUGGGUGAGAAUCCCACGCACCGAAAACCCAAGGUUUCCAGAGGAAGGUUCGUCCGCUCUGGGUAAGUCGGGACCUAAGGCGAGGCCGAGAGGCGUAGUCGAUGGACAACAGGUAGAGAUUCCUGUACUUACGGUAUGAAUGAUGGAGUGACGGAGAAGGCUAGCGGAUCCUGCUGAUGGAAAUGCAGGUGCAAGCGAGGUAGCCGACAGCCAGGCAAAUCCGGCUGUCGAAAGGCAAAGGCGUGAGGCGUAUGGAAAGCUGCGGCAAGUACAGAAGUCCGUGAAGCCAGCUUCCAAGAAAAGCUUCUAGUGAUAAUCAUACAGUAACCCGUACCGAAAAUGGACACACAUGGGUGAGGAGAGAAUCCUAAGGUGAGCGAGAGAACUAUAGCUAAGGAACUCUGCAAAAUGACUCCGUAACUUAGGGAUAAGGAGUGCUCAUAGAGAUAUGAGCCGCAGUGAAACGGCCCAAGCGACUGUUUACCAAAAACACAGCUCUAUGCUAAGUCGAAAGACGACGUAUAUGGGGUGACGCCUGCCCGGUGCUGGAAGGUUAAGAGGAUGUGUCAGCGCAAGCGAAGCAUUGAAUUGAAGCCCCAGUAAACGGCGGCCGUAACUAUAACGGUCCUAAGGUAGCGAAAUUCCUUGUCAGGUAAGUUCUGACCCGCACGAAUGGUGUAAUGAUUUGGGCACUGUCUCAACAGCCCGCCCGGCGAAAUUGUAGUACCGGUGAAGAUGCCGGUUUCCCGCGACAAGACGGAAAGACCCCAUGGAGCUUUACUGCAGCCUAAUAUUGGGUUUCGAUAUUACAUGUACAGGAUAUGUGGGAGACAUGGAAGCACGGGCGUCAGCCUGUGUGGAGUCAGCCUUGGGAUACCACACUUGUGAUAUUGGAAUUCUAACCUGCGGCCCUGAAUCGGGUCGGGGGACAUUGUUAGGCGGGCAGUUUGACUGGGGCGGUCGCCUCCAAAAGAGUAACGGAGGCGCUCAAAGGUUGGCUCAGCACGGACGGAAAUCGUGCAAUGAGUGUAAACGUAUAAGCCAGCCUAACUGCGAGACCGACGGGUCGAGCAGUAACGAAAGUUGGAGUUAGUGAUCCGGCGGUAUGUGAGUGGAAAUGCCGUCGCUCAACGGAUAAAAGCUACCCUGGGGAUAACAGGCUGAUCUCCCCCAAGAGUUCACAUCGACGGGGAGGUUUGGCACCUCGAUGUCGGCUCAUCGCAUCCUGGAGCUGAAGUCGGUUCCAAGGGUUGGGCUGUUCGCCCAUUAAAGCGGUACGCGAGCUGGGUUCAGAACGU
This 2604-nucleotide ribosomal RNA is filed under the name human gut metagenome. RNAcentral's name for it is "bacterial LSU rRNA". It matches the Rfam family "Bacterial large subunit ribosomal RNA", at positions 1 to 2619 of the family's 2925-position model. The record is from RNAcentral.